AUUGACCCUUCUCGGCAUCAAUAUCCAGGAAAAGAAACCAACAGGAAGUAAAAGUCGUAACAAGGUUUCCGUAGGUGAACCUGCGGAAGGAUCAUUAUCGUACAAUGGGGGUACGACGGCUGUCGCUGACUUUAGUUGUGCACGCCCGAGUGCUCUCACAUACAAAUAUCCAUCUCACCCCUUUGUGCAUCACCGCGUGGGUCCCCUUCCUCGGAGGGGGUGCUCACGUUUUUAACAUUAAACACCCAUUCGAACGUAGUGUAGAAUGUUUUUUUUGCGCAAUCACGCGCGAUCAAUACAACUUUCAACAACGGAUCUCUUGGCUCUCGCAUCGAUGAAGAACGCAGCGAAAUGCGAUACGUAAUGUGAAUUGCAGAAUUCAGUGAAUCAUCGAAUCUUUGAACGCACCUUGCGCCCCUUGGCAUUCCGAGGGGGCACACCCGUUUGAGUGUCGUGAACAUCCUCAACUUGCUUGGUUUUUAUUGAACCAAGUAGGCUUGGAAUUUGGAGGUUUUCUGCUGGCCUCCUCCGAAGCCAGCUCCUCUUAAAUCUAUUAGUGGGAUCCGCUUUGCUAGAUCCUCGACGUUGAUAAGAUGUUUCUACGUCUUGGGUUUCGCUCGGGAAAGGACCUGCUUCUAACCGUCCCAUCGGGGACAACGUUCGAGCCAAUCGCCCUUCACGGGGUGGGAAGCUUUUUCGACCCAUGAAACCUUGACCUCAAAUCGGGUGAGACUACCCGCUGAACUUAAGCAUAUCAAUAAGCGGAGGAAAAGAAACCAA
RNAcentral lists this ribosomal RNA (780 nucleotides) under uncultured Russula. RNAcentral's name for it is "eukaryotic LSU rRNA". The stretch from base 300 to 454 matches the Rfam family "5.8S ribosomal RNA". The record is from RNAcentral. Lineage: Eukaryota; Fungi; Basidiomycota; Agaricomycetes; Russulales; Russulaceae.